This 253-nucleotide ribosomal RNA is filed under the name uncultured bacterium. RNAcentral describes it as "partial 16S ribosomal RNA". It matches the Rfam family "Bacterial small subunit ribosomal RNA", at positions 524 to 776 of the family's 1533-position model. The record is from RNAcentral.
UACGUAGGGGGCCAGCGUUGUUCGGAAUUACUGGGCGUAAAGGGCUCGUAGGCGGUGCGGCAAGUUGGGAGUGAAAUCUCUGGGCUUAACCCAGAGGCUGCUUCCAAAACUGCUGUGCUUGAGUGUGGGAGAGGCGCGUGGAAUUGCAGGUGUAGCGGUGAAAUGCGUAGAUAUCUGCAGGAACACCCGUGGCGAAAGCGGCGCGCUGGGCCACUACUGACGCUGAGGAACGAAAGCUAGGGGAGCAAACAGG